Molecule: long non-coding RNA, 471 nt
Organism: Oncorhynchus keta (chum salmon)
Lineage: Eukaryota; Metazoa; Chordata; Actinopteri; Salmoniformes; Salmonidae
Exons: 4
Source: RefSeq, a predicted model, not a curated record
AAAACCCACCAAGUUCUCCUCUGUGAAAUAAUAAAUUCUCUAAGCUGGCAUCACCAAACAGGUCAUUCAUUUGGUUGGAGAGGUGGGCAUAUACAGAGGAGUAGUGUUUCAGGUUAGAGAGGAGUAGACAGGGUAGUGUUUCAGGUUGGAGAGGUGGGCAUAUACAGAGGAGUAGUGUUUCAGGUUAGAGAGGAGUAGACAGGGUAGUGUUUCAGGUUGGAGAGGUGGGCAUAUACAGAGGAGUAGUGUUUCAGGUUAGAGAGGAGUAGACAGGGUAGUGUUUCAGGUUGGAGAGGUGGGCAUAUACAGAGGAGUAGUGUUUCAGGUUAGAGAGGAGUAGACAGGGUAGUGUUUCAGGUUGGAGAGGUGGGCAUAUACAGAGGAGUAGUGUUUCAGGUUAGAGAGGAGUAGACAGGGUAGUGUUUCAGGUUGGAGAGGUGGGCAUAUACAGAGGAGUAGUGUUUCAGGUUA